CCCACAAAGUGUGGUCACAUUUGGUGGAUUAAAUUGUGAUCUUAGUUGUUUUGAGGUUUUGGGGAGCAAUGUCACGCAGUAACACGGGUGCGCCGCUAGAUGGCAGAAGCGGGCUCUUGCGGGACUGACGGUGCAUCAUUGCGGUGUCGAGGAAGCUCCCUUCCAUUCGGAUGAGAGCUACCAGCACAGCAACACCGUCUCCUGUGGCUCAUUUGUUCUUUUCCUGUUAAAACAGGUUGGUCCGGGUCUAAACUGAAAACUGUUACGUAAUAAACAUGGUCGUUCUACUAAAUGUCGCGACGUUGGUCCCCUGUGUAUUUGGUUUGUGUUAUUUUAUGUCGUCAUUAUGCGGUUUGCUAAUAAGCUCUCGGUUAGCUGCUCGGAGGAUUUCCUCAGAUGGUACGCGAAGAAUGCGUAUGUUUUAUAUAACCGCCUGUAAGGUGCAUUUAUUUACAAUUCCUGAUAUAGUAAUAAGCUGGUGUUGUGUUAUAGAGGAACUAGUGGAAGUGUGAAUGUAUAGUCACAAUUUUCAGGGUUGUAUGAUGGCUUUAUUGUUAUAAUCUGGAUUAAAUUCGGAUGAGAGCUACCAGCACAGCAACACCGUCUCCUGUGGCUCAUUUGUUCUUUUCCUGUUAAAACAGGUUGGUCCGGGUCUAAACUGAAAACUGUUACGUAAUAAACAUGGUCGUUCUACUAAAUGUCGCGACGUUGGUCCCCUGUGUAUUUGGUUUGUGUUAUUUUAUGUCGUCAUUAUGCGGUUUGCUAAUAAGCUCUCGGUUAGCUGCUCGGAGGAUUUCCUCAGAUGGUACGCGAAGAAUGCGUAUGUUUUAUAUAACCGCCUGUAAGGUGCAUUUAUUUACAAUUCCUGAUAUAGUAAUAAGCUGGUGUUGUGUUAUAGAGGAACUAGUGGAAGUGUGAAUGUAUAGUCACAAUUUUCAGGGUUGUAUGAUGGCUUUAUUGUUAUAAUCUGGAUUAAAUUCGGAUGAGAGCUACCAGCACAGCAA
This is a long non-coding RNA of Xiphophorus hellerii (green swordtail), 1004 nucleotides long. RefSeq lists it as uncharacterized. The transcript is spliced from 2 exons. NCBI's taxonomy places the organism in Eukaryota, Metazoa, Chordata, Actinopteri, Cyprinodontiformes, Poeciliidae. The record is from RefSeq and is a predicted model, not a curated record.